Molecule: ribosomal RNA, 864 nt
Filed under: uncultured archaeon
Lineage: Archaea
Description: bacterial SSU rRNA
Rfam family: Archaeal small subunit ribosomal RNA
Source: RNAcentral
UGAUACUAAGCCAUGCGAGUCAUUGCAGUAAUGCAAGGCAGACGGCUCAGUAACGCGUAGUCAACCUACCCUAUGGACGGGAAUAACCUCGGGAAACUGAGUAUAAUGCCCGAUAGAACACUAUUCCUGGAAUGGUUUGUGUUCCAAAUGAUUUAUCGCCGUAGGAUGGGACUGCGGCCUAUCAGUUUGUUGGUGAGGUAAUGGCCCACCAAGACUAUUACAGGUACGGGCUCUGAGAGGAGUAGCCCGGAGAUGGGUACUGAGACACGGACCCAGGCCCUAUGGGGCGCAGCAGGCGAGAAAACUUUGCAAUGUGCGAAAGCACGACAAGGUUAAUCCGAGUGGUUUGUGCUAAACGAACCUUUUGACAGUCCUAGAAACACUGUUGAAUAAGGGGUGGGCAAGUCCUGGUGUCAGCCGCCGCGGUAAAACCAGCACCUCAAGUGGUCAGGAUGAUUAUUGGGCCUAAAGCAUCCGUAGCCGGCUCUGUAAGUUUUCGGUUAAAUCUGUACGCUCAACGUACAGGCUGCCGGGAAUACUGCAGAGCUAGGGAGUGGGAGAGGUAGACGGUACUCGGUAGGAAGGGGUAAAAUCCUUUGAUCUAUUGAUGACCACCUGUGGCGAAGGCGGUCUACCAGAACACGUCCGACGGUGAGGGAUGAAAGCUGGGGGAGCAAACCGGAUUAGAUACCCGGGUAGUCCCAGCUGUAAACUAUGCAAACUCAGUGAUGCAUUGGCUUGUGGCCAAUGCAGUGCUGCAGGGAAGCCGUUAAGUUUGCCGCCUGGGAAGUACGUACGCAAGUAUGAAACUUAAAGGAAUUGGCGGGGGAGCACCACAAGGGGUGAAGCCUGCGGUUCAAUUGG